RNAcentral lists this long non-coding RNA (455 nucleotides) under Helianthus annuus (common sunflower). RNAcentral's name for it is "sRNA HanXRQr2_Chr15g0694901". Lineage: Eukaryota; Viridiplantae; Streptophyta; Magnoliopsida; Asterales; Asteraceae. The record is from RNAcentral.
AUGUCUUGUAGGUGUGGAUUUGGUAGCGGUUGUGGUGGUGAGUUUGCAAUAUGCAUUAAACAAAAAAUAAAAAUAAAAACAAAAUAAAAGAAUAUGAUGCCAAAAUAGUAAGCUUGCGUGGCAAGUUGACAGCGAAGGGAAACGAACCCUUACGCGCACACAACACGUGGUAGGGGCGAGAGUCACGUUGCUACUCAUUAUAUCCUGACUUUAUUAUCCUUUUUUUUCUCAAAAUAUCCAAUCACUUUACUCGAUUUUAGGAAGUAGCUUUGCUCUUAAGAUUUUGGAUUCAAAGCAAAGAAGAUUUUAAUAUUAACUAUUCAUAUUUCCCCGCGCUUCGCGGCGGGAUUAAGUCGAUAUUAAUUUGGUUCAUUAUUGUACCUAUACUUGAUAUAGUAAUUGAAAAGAUAUUCUUCCGCUAUCAUACCGAGCCCAAUUGAACAAUAUUUGUAUCG